GGGGCCAUAGCUCAAUUGGUAGAGCACUAGCUUUGCAAGCUAGGGGUUAGGGGUUCGAUUCCCCUUGGCUCCACAA
RNAcentral lists this transfer RNA (76 nucleotides) under Ignavibacteriota bacterium. RNAcentral describes it as "Ignavibacteriae bacterium tRNA-Ala". It matches the Rfam family "tRNA". From Rfam's summary of the family: Transfer RNA (tRNA) molecules are approximately 80 nucleotides in length. Their secondary structure includes four short double-helical elements and three loops (D, anti-codon, and T loops). Lineage: Bacteria; Pseudomonadati; Ignavibacteriota. RNAcentral also lists the same sequence under 3 other names. The record is from RNAcentral.